UAAGAGGAUGGUGUCCUCAUGGGAGCC
This 27-nucleotide non-coding RNA is filed under the name Homo sapiens (human). Lineage: Eukaryota; Metazoa; Chordata; Mammalia; Primates; Hominidae. The record is from RNAcentral.